UGGAUCUGUGAUGACCACUGGUGCCAUAUGAGUCAUGGAUCAUAACAACAGGUCUGGGAGUCUGGGGUCCAC
Small nucleolar RNA from Microtus ochrogaster (prairie vole), 72 nucleotides. The record is from Ensembl. NCBI's taxonomy places the organism in Eukaryota, Metazoa, Chordata, Mammalia, Rodentia, Cricetidae.